This 443-nucleotide ribosomal RNA is filed under the name uncultured bacterium. RNAcentral describes it as "SSU rRNA". It matches the Rfam family "Bacterial small subunit ribosomal RNA", at positions 26 to 518 of the family's 1533-position model. The record is from RNAcentral.
AGAGCGAACGCUGGCGGCAGGCCUAACACAUGCAAGUCGAGCGCCCCGCAAGGGGAGCGGCAGACGGGAGAGUAACACGUGGGAACGUACCCUUUGGUUCGGAACAACACAGGGAAGCUUGUGCUAAUACCGGAUAAGCCCUUACGGGGAAAGAUUUAUCGCCAAAGGAUCGGCCCGCGUCUGAUUAGCUUGUUGGUGAGGUAACGGCUCACCAAGGCUACGAUCAGUAGCUGGUCUGAGAGGAUGAUCAGCCUCACUGGGACUGAGACACGGCCCAGACUCCUACGGGAGGCAGCAGUGGGGAAUAUUGGACAAUGGGCGCAAGCCUGAUCCAGCCAUGCCGCGUGGAUGAUGAAGGCCCUAGGGUUGUAAAGUCCUUUCGGACGGGAAGAUAAUGACGGUACCGUAGAAGAAGCCCCGGCUAACUUCGUGCCAGCAGCCGC